Molecule: ribosomal RNA, 495 nt
Filed under: uncultured bacterium
Lineage: Bacteria
Description: partial 16S ribosomal RNA
Rfam family: Bacterial small subunit ribosomal RNA
Source: RNAcentral
UGGGGAAUCUUCCGCAAUGGACGAAAGUCUGACGGAGCAACGCCGCGUGUAUGAUGAAGGUCUUCGGAUUGUAAAGUACUGUCAUUGGGGAAGAACGGUUUUCUUGAAAAGAUUGAGAAGACAUGACGGUACCCAAGGAGGAAGCCCCGGCUAACUACGUGCCAGCAGCCGCGGUAAUACGUAGGGGGCAAGCGUUNUCCGGAAUUAUUGGGCGUAAAGGGCGCGUAGGCGGGCCUUUAAGUCCGGUGUGAAAGAUCAGGGCUCAACCCUGAGAGUGCAUCGGAAACUGGAGGCCUUGAGGACAGGAGAGGAAAGUGGAAUUCCACGUGUAGCGGUGAAAUGCGUAGAUAUGUGGAGGAACACCAGUGGCGAAGGCGACUUUCUGGACUGUAACUGACGCUGAGGCGCGAAAGCGUGGGGGAGCAAACAGGAUUAGAUACCCUGGUAGUCCACGCCGUAAACGAUGAGUGCUAGGUGUAGAGGGUAUCGACCCCC